GGUGGUGAUAGCGGUGGGGAAACGCCCGGUGCCCAUUCCGAACCCGGUAGCUAAGCCUGCCAGCGCUGAUGGUACUGCACUCUAGGGGGUGUGGGAGAGUAAGACGCUGCC
RNAcentral lists this ribosomal RNA (111 nucleotides) under Sediminivirga luteola. Lineage: Bacteria; Bacillati; Actinomycetota; Actinomycetes; Micrococcales; Brevibacteriaceae. The record is from RNAcentral.